This 207-nucleotide long non-coding RNA is filed under the name Carica papaya (papaya). RNAcentral's name for it is "long non-coding RNA (CPAP_LNC005308)". Lineage: Eukaryota; Viridiplantae; Streptophyta; Magnoliopsida; Brassicales; Caricaceae. The record is from RNAcentral.
GUGGAGUCAGCGGACUGAACUUCCCUUAUUCUCUGGAUUAACUCAAGCUGAAAGGCCAAGUGGCCCAAACAUGUGACUUUCCUCAAGUCUUGAAGCCAUACCUGUUGUGCAGCCCCUAUCUGCCUACAUUCUGAAACCAUCAAUUGGGCUAAUGUACCUGCACUUUUCUUGUUGAGUACGUCGGCUACCACGUUGUCCUUACCCGGG